CGUUGUUGAAAAAUAUGACCAAUGUGAAAAAUGAUAGGUUCCACCGAGAUUUGAACUCGGGUCGCAGGAUUCAAAGUCCUGAGUGCUAACCGCUACACCAUGGAACCGCAUGUCUUCCGCGCGUCAAUUUCGGCUUUUGCAACUGUUUGUUGAUCAAACUUUUGUUCCUUGUUCGU
This is a non-coding RNA of Caenorhabditis elegans, 176 nucleotides long. The record is from Ensembl. NCBI's taxonomy places the organism in Eukaryota, Metazoa, Nematoda, Chromadorea, Rhabditida, Rhabditidae.